RNAcentral lists this long non-coding RNA (4707 nucleotides) under Homo sapiens (human). RNAcentral's name for it is "HSALNT0191044". The record is from RNAcentral. Lineage: Eukaryota; Metazoa; Chordata; Mammalia; Primates; Hominidae.
UGACAAGAGCAAAACUCCGUCUCGAAAAAAAAAAAAUUUUUUAAAGAAAAAGAAAAUAAAAAUAAAACAAACUCACUUUCCUCCCAUACUAUCCUUGUCUUCUGGUGCUGGGUGUUGUAGGACAUUUUCAUGUUGAGAUGUCUUUGUGUGACGAUAGCAGGUGGUCGGCAGUGAGUGAUGAGUAUUCCAGGAAAUCAUUACUAUACAAGAGUACCACACAAGGAAGUGACUGCAAACCACUUACAUACUUCCCCUCAAUUCAAUGAACCCCUAAAUCAACUUCCCCUUUGCCAGGUCCUCCAAAGGCCUAUAGCCACUCCAAUGCCAAUGGAAGAGAGGCAAGAGGUAGAGAAAAUUGGAAUAAAAAGAGAGAGUAGCCUUAAGUUUUAACUGAUUGUGGUUAAAAUAUUUUACUUUUGCAACAUUUACAAAAACACACAUGCAUGUGAAUAGAUCACUAGAGUCCCUCCCAGAACUUACAAAGGACCCCUGCAAGUGAGGGGCUCUGAAAUGUAAGCCUCAUUGUUUUCACCAUAAAUCCACCUCUGUCAGUGAGGGACUGUUUGAGGAGAUGACAUGUAGCUGAAAGCACUUAGAUGACAUUCAGUAAGUUAUUAUUAAUUGGAGACUCAUGGUAAAUCUACUGCAGUCUUUGAAAGCAGAGAUCUCUUGCUCCAUCUUGAGUCUCAGACUAACUUAUACAAGGACAGGAAGACAGCACUUCCCCAGGAAGGCCUCUUUAAAAAUAGAAGCUGCCAGUGUCAGAGACCAUCCCAAAAUUACCGCACUUUGGCCAUCCAUGCAUACAGGGAAUGCACAGUAACAGUCUGAGUGUCUCUGCAGCAUUGGUUGGAAUCUAUAAAGAUCUGAAAUCAAUGCCUUGUUUGACUGUGAUUUGCAUCCUCUUUUUCUUUGCUGGCUCUGGGUCUCUGGGGGAAGGAGUCCCUUGUGCCUGCCAGGUGCUCUUGAUUAGAGUUUGGGGCUCCCAGCAUUGUGAUUAUUUGUUUACCUGCCUAUCUCCUUUGCAAAAGUGAGCUGUGCCAAGCAAGGGCCCUAUCUUAUUUAUGCUUGCAUCCCCAGGGCCUAGCACACAGCCUAGCACACAGAGGGCACUCCAUUCAUGUUUCCAGAUGAAUACAUAAUUGCCUAUCCAGCAAUGUAUGAAAGAAAAAAAAUAUCAUUCCACCCAUUUCUUGAUUUCAUCUCAAAUUCUCCAAAACAGGACAGCCAUUUAUAUUUAAUGAAAUAAAAGAAACUCAAAUAAUGUAUAAUUGAAGAAGGAAGAAGGAUAGGAGCAAGACUUUCCAGUUAUAUCUCAUGGCUCUCAUUCUCAUUUCACCUACACGACUUGGGUAGGAAAGUAUUUUUAGAAUUCAGUAUGCUCAGUUGCAAAAUAAGUGUAUAAACAUUGGUAUCUUUCCUACAUAUGGCUCUGUUCGGUUGGAAAAAAAAAUGAAUAUCGUUUUGCAAUAGCAAAACUAAAUAUUAAAUACCCAUGAAUAAACUUAACAACAAAUACAAAGGCCUAUGUAAAGAAUCCUUUACAAUUUUACUCAGAGACAAAAAAGGAAACAAUCAAAUGAAGUGAGAUACUUUAUUUCUGGAUGAAAAGAUUCAUUGUUAUAAAGGCAUCAAUUUCCAAGUCAAUUUAUAAAUUUAAUGUGAAAAUUUCCACAGCGUAUUUCUUGGAUCUAUUCAAAAUAAUUUUAAACAUUAUCUGAAAGACUAAACUUAUAAAAAUAACCCAUAUCAUUUAGAAAAAUCAGAAGAAUAUGGUUAAUUAUUUAAUGAAACACACCAUAAAGCUAUAGUAUUUAAGGUAUAAUAAAUAAGAUUGCUAGUCAUGACCUCCUAAAUUAUUUCAUAGCCUACUAAGGGUCAUGAACUGCAGACUAAAAAACAUUGGUUUAUAAAUAUCCAAAACUGAGCAGUUUCGUUAAAUAUAUUAUAAUAUACUCAUAAUGCAGAAUAUAUGCCAUUAUUAAAAAUAAUGUGGUAGAACUAUAUAGGUAUGGAAAGAUGUCGACAACGCAUGGGUGAAAAAUUUACUAGAAUCACCCUAUUUUGAAAGGAAAAAAUAUCAUAUAUUUUUAUAUAUGCAGAGAAAGAGCAUAUGGACAGAAAAUUACCAAUAUAUUAACAAUAGCCCAUUUGUCUGUAGCUGCUGGGUUUAUGGGCAAGUGUAAUCUUCUUUUUACUCUCUGUAAUCAAUAUGCAUUAGUACUUAAAAUAUGAAUUUUAAACAUUUUAGACUGUUACAUAAUACAUAGAUUUUGUUCAUUAUUUUCAGGAAAAAUGCAGAUUUGGUCCUUAAUACAUAAUUAAUAUCCAUUACAUGAUUUUUUAGCAAAGAUAUUAUAAAGUUAUAGUACUUAGAGUAUAAUAAAUAAGUUUGCUAGUCAUGACCUCCUAAAUUAUUUCAUAGCUUACCGAAGGUCAUGAACUGCAGUUUUAUUAUAUUUUCUGUCAUUUUCUUUGACAGAAGAUACGAUAAAAUGAAACAUUCUUGAUUUCUUUAACAUUAAAUUUACAGCAGUAAGCAAUCCUCAAUCCAAAUAAUCACAUUUUUAGCUGCAAAAUAGGAAACACUUCUUCCAAUUCCUGUCAUAGAACUUCUCUAAGAAUAAAACAGCUGCUUAGCUAUCAUUGCCUUUAAAGGAAAAAAUACCAUCAUUAAACUGCUGCUUUGGGUAUUUGAGUCGAGGUGCUCUAGUGGCUAUUGUAACACUGUGCCUCCUGUCACGCUACCAACCUGCUGGGUUGAGUAGGCCAUCCAGGCUUAGAGUUGUCUCUAGCCAAGAACGGUAGAAGUCAAGAUUUAUUUAUGCUGGGGCUGCUGAAUAAGGCAGUUACUCAUGAGGACAUUUUUAAACCGGUACAAGUAAACCCAAGCAACCUUUAAGGGGAGAAGUCACAAACAAACACAUUAAGUCUGGAGUUGGACAUGUGUCUUGGAAGAAGAGACAUGGGUGAGGGAAGAUGAUGCUUGCAGAUUUCCAGUGUGCACCUCCCUCUUUAGCUGUGGCUGGUAAACUUACCUGAGUCAUUGAUUUUCUCCCCUCUAGAUGCCGCCCUGAAUUUCACUUUUGUCUGCUUUCAUAAUUGAGUGACCAGAAUAACAGUCUGUCAACCAUUCCACAAAAUAUUUGCCUCAAGUCAAAAAUAUCCUAGAAAAGAGUUGUUGGUGAAUAUAAGGCCAAUUUCAUGCUCUCUUAAAAUAAUGACACUUCCAAGGGUAGAAACUGAAUAAGUUUCAUAGUUCAUGUCUCUUGUUCUAGACUUCUAUAUCAGGAAAUGUUAUAAUUUUCAAGGCAUAUAGAUUCAGUAAAAAAAAAAAAAAAAAAAAAAAAAGACAGAGAGAAAGAAAAGAAAGCUUGAACUCGGGAGGUGGAGGUUGCAGUGAGCCAAGAUCAUGCCACUGCACUCUAGCCCGGUGACAGAGCGAGAUUCUGUCUGAAAAAAAGAAAAAGAAAUGUUACAAUCUCACUGUUUUCGGAAUUCAUUCAUUCCAAAAUUUUGUGCAUCUAUAAGUUGAAAGAACUAGAUGAGAUGAUUUUGAAUAGAAGUACUGAGUGAGAACAUUCUCUAGCACAUUAUCUGGCAAUAUGGGAUGUUGUAAUACAAUGUUAACAGUAUACGGUGUAAAGAUACCAAUGUAUACUGUUAACACUGUAACAGUACACAUUGCCUCAUAAUAUUAAAAACUCUUAUAAACUUCAUCUUAAUGGCAGAAUAAUAUUCUAAGAUGUGAUUAGGAAAUCAUUUUGCAAACCUUGUUUCCAAUAUUUUUGUUAUUUUAAACAAUAUUAUGAUUUCUAACUUUAUGAAAAAAACAUUUUCCAAAUUUCAGGUCAUGCCUUUAGGAUAGAUUUACAAAGUAGAAUUACCAUAAUAAACAUUUUAAGGUUACAUUGCAAAAUUAUUUUCUAAAAGGCUUGUAGCAAUUUUCAUCCCUACCUGCAAUGUAUCAAUAGCCACUUCCUUGUUUCCUCAUUCAUAUUAGGCGUCUCAUUUACAAAAAUGAAUACAUAAAAAACAAUUUUAUAAAAUAUUUGAUACAUUAAUAAGUUAAGAAUUUUGUUCACUGUUGUUUUAAUUUGUAUAUAUUUUUAUUUACAGUGAGAUUAAACACUUUUCCAUAUGUUAUUUGGUCAUUUGUAUUUCCUCCUUUGUGUAUUGUUGUGCAUGCCUUUUGCCUGAAAAGGACCAUUUCCUUUUCAGUAAUAAUCAACAUUAACUACCAUGAUGACUACUAUGACAGGAGAGUUGAUUCAGCUUGGGCUUGCGGGGAGGAAGCAACAGAGGUCUGUCUGCUAGAAAGUGACCUUUGAGUGGAUAUUCAAAUGAUGAUGGUGGGAAGUAGAGAGAUUGGGCAGUAGCUUUCCUGGCAGAGGGACAGAAUCGUUUGUUUUGAGGCAGGUCUGACCUGUGAGUCCAGGGCUGUCCAGAGAAUAAGAAUGCUGGCUCUAAGGGACAUGGACAUUCUGGUCAAAUGAAGAACAUUUUCAUCCAUGCUUUGAUGAGACAGACCUCAAACUACUAUCAUACUACUGUGAUACAAUAGAUGAUGACUACUAUGAUAUGAUUUUUUUUCAUUCCUAGACAAUGUAGUAUAAUAUAAUCUCAUAUCAAAACUCAGGGUCUAAAACCUUCUCCCGUCUAAAGUGCUACCUUAUCAUAAAAUAAUGAAAGGUUUUAAGAUUGCUA